UGCGGGGGGGGUAAGCGUUGUUCGGAAUUACUGGGCGUAAAGGGCUCGUAGGCGGCCAACUAAGUCAGACGUGAAAUCCCUCAGCUUAACUGGGGAACUGCGUCUGAUACUGGAUGGCUUGGAUUCGGGAGAGGAAUGCGGAAUUCCAGGUGUAGCGGUGAAAUGCGUAGAUAUCUGGAGGAACACCGGUGGCGAAGGCGGCUCUCUGGGCCUUACCUGACGCUGAGGAGCGAAAGCUGGGGGAGCGAACAGG
This 253-nucleotide ribosomal RNA is filed under the name uncultured bacterium. Its description in RNAcentral is "partial 16S ribosomal RNA". It matches the Rfam family "Bacterial small subunit ribosomal RNA", at positions 524 to 776 of the family's 1533-position model. The record is from RNAcentral.